Molecule: long non-coding RNA, 3338 nt
Filed under: Lactuca sativa (garden lettuce)
Lineage: Eukaryota; Viridiplantae; Streptophyta; Magnoliopsida; Asterales; Asteraceae
Description: long non-coding RNA (LSAT_LNC002533)
Source: RNAcentral
GAUGCUAUAAUAUCAAAAUAAAUGAAUGUAUACAAAUAUUUCUUGCAUUUAUCGAUAAAAGGAACAAGUAAUUGUUGUUUGCUGACUUUCCUCUUAUGUAAUUAUAUGCUAUUUCAAUCUCUUCAUAAACUUGUACCUCUUUUUGAAUGAAAUCAUUUUUAAUCCUUCAGGAUCAACUUUUGAAUCUACAGAUUCUCUAUGUCAACAAGUAUUUGUUUAUUGCCUAUUUCUAAUUUUUUUUUUCCUAUAACUUAUUAGUUUUCUACUUUUUCCUCAAAUGCCCUUAACUUUGUGUUAAGAUCUAUAUCUCUCAUUGACUCUUUUCAUAAGCUUCUUGUUGCUUUCUUAGUUUUUCCACUUCAUGAUUUAUUUAUCCAUGUCCAACUUUCAUAGAUUCCAAGGCGUUUUAUGGGUCUAUAUAAGCUUUCACCAGCAAAAGUAAGUUGCCAGAGCACUGGAGCACCCACUGCUGCUUCCUUGGUUUACAAGGAUAUGGGGAUGGGGCUUGCCGGUCGAUCAUGUUAAGAUACUAAAUCUUUACCUGCAAAACAAAAAAAAAAAAAAAAAAAAAAAAAAAAAAAAAAAAANAAAAAACAUUAGUUAUUACUUGAACUUACCUGCAAAAAGUUGAUAUCUGUCAUGCAUAUACCAGGCGAUCAUGUGAAGGUAAAUGUUUUUCAAAGUAUAAUGUCCUUAUAAGAAGAAAAAUAAAAAGAGAAUGUAUAAUGCUAUAACUUGAUAGGUUUUUUUGUACAUUGCAUUAAUACGAAUGGUGAAUGCAAAAUGUUGUAAUAGAAUGUAAUGAAUAUAUGAUGUUACAAUAUAUAAAUAUGAAAGUGCUUUGCCUUUUCAUGCAUAUACCAACAAUUCUUCUUUCAUGGCCAUUUCAUUAGAAACUUUUUGUAUUUGUUGCACUCUGCCUCUCCUUGCUUCCAACUCUCUGUAAGGAGUUAUCCACCAGCAAAAGAACCAUGUUAUACAUGGUAGACAUAAGUAGAAAUAAUCUAUUCAGAAAACAACUUAUAAAAUGGUAUCCUUUAAAUUAAUAACAUCAACAUAAAGCAAUUAUAUUUCAAAACAAACAGAAAAUAUACAUUGCCUUUUGAUGUUAUCAAGAAAGUCCUCAAUAGUUGAAAGCCACCAAAAACAUAUAUGGGUAAUGUUAGCAUGCUUCUUUCACCUCUUUAAACACCCAAUAGUGUCUAAAUAUAGCAAAUAAUAGCUAUAGAUUACCCUAAAAUUACAGAUCGCAACUUUAAUGCUUUACAUCUAAACCUGGAUUUGUUUGUUGAUUCCGUUCUUUAGCUUAUACACUAUAGUAGAAACUGUGAUACUGGAAGCAUCCAUUUCCUCAUUAAUAUGAUUUGAUGAUCUAUUCUUUAGCUUAUACACAAUAGCAAAAACUAUGACUUUGGAAUCCUCUAUUUUGGCUAUCUUAUAGCCUUGAAAUAUGUUAUGGAGAUAUUUAGCUAACACCAUAAGGAUCAUAAACCACACAACAUAAAAAUUCGAUUGAUGUUCAGAUUCUUCAUUAUAACUUUGAUAUACUUGAAGUUCCAUCCAUAUCUUUUGAAAUAAUUGGUUCAAAAGAUGCUUCUAUACCUACAUACAAAGGAAGAGAAAUAAAAAAUAAUUAUUUUUCUAUAGUGUUAAGUUGCUGAAAAAUGGGAAUGAUCUAGCAACAGAUUUGGUGUAAUGAACUUCUAGAAGAAUAGAGAUAUGAUAAAUUUGCUAAAAUGGAAAAAGGAUUGUAUAUGGAAGAACUCAGGAGACGAUACAUGGAAUGGAUACAUGAUUAUAAAAUUGAAAUAAACAAUCAGGUCCUUAAUUCACCUAAUAUAACGUAUCCUAUCCUUUUUAUGUUAGUUCUAAAAUUGAAGUAACAAAUAUCACAUCAUAUCCUUUACAUUGGUUUUGUUGAUAAGGUAUCUACAAAAAUCCAUCAAUAAUUUGAACCAACUUUAACUAUGAAAAUAUGAAAAUGUAGAAUACUCAAAUAUCAAACUAAUUUUCAAAAAAAGAUCCUGAAUAGGAAAAAAAUGAGGAGCAAUGUUAUCUCCAUAAGUUUCUACAAAACCACCUAAUGUUGGGCCAGUAACCUUAUAUCUGGUGAAAAUAGACUUGUAUGUCUCAUUGAAGCAUUUCAUCAAACACGUUAAGUGCAACUGGGUUUUUUCUUAAAUUCAUAAUUAUAAAUAAAUGGAAGCCCUCAUUCUGUAUACUAUAUUCAUGACCUGGUGAAAAUUUCCAAUCAGAAUGAUAAGAAAAUUGUACCGGGAGACAUUAGCUGCCUCUGAUUAUACCAUGACGGACUGAGAGUGUGUGAUGAAGAACUCUAAAUUAGAUAUGUAAUACCUUACCGAGCCUUCUUUAGUGACCAGAAAAUCAAUUUGCAUAGUUAUUGCAGUUGGCGAUGCCAACUGCCGAAGACGGAAAAUAAUGAGGCGUCAAGAGCAAGAGACCCAGAGGAUAGAGUAAAAAUAAAUAGCGCAAAGUAUAGAAUCGAUAUACCUUAAAAUUAUACAUGUCGUAUGAAGGAAAGGCACUAUAACCAAAAUCUACUGAUGAAGCAACAAGUUUCUUGAAGGAAGCAGCAGGUGGCAAGCUGCUUUGGGGAAACACCAACAUGUAAGCAAUGAACAAACCCACCUUUUAAGUGUCAUGCCUCGGCCUGAGGCAAAGAUGACCGGAAACAACCAAGUAGGUAGGUGAGACAGGCAACCAAGCAGCUAACGGAAGGAUGACACAAUUACCCAAUUCAGAGUUCUUGGAGAGAAAGAUUACAUUUGGAGAUGAGAUUAAUGGUUUGUACAGGUUGAUUAGGGAAAAACCUAAGCUUUUAUGGAGUUAUCCAUUUUAAGUGAUAUCAAGAUGAUCAAUUAGGUUUCCUCGAGAGAAAGAGAAAGACCCAAAUUCCACUAUUCUUUGUGAAUUAGAAAAUCAAAGCCAUACCUUCAGACAAUAAAUUAGGGCAGAAAUUGCAGAAAUCCACCAUCAGGCCAUCUCAUGUGCCCCCAUAACCAUAAGAUAGUAAGCUCUCCCACACUUGUUGAAAGUGAGCUUGAGCAGAUCAACCCAAUACAACUUCCGACUCCUUGUAAACAUAUCCAUCUUCAGCACCAAUGAUAAAAACCAGCUUUUGAGAAAGAAAUCAAACCAUCUGUUACCUAAAUCUCUUCUAUUUUAUAACUAAAAAAAUUGAGAAUUGAUUGAUUAAUUGAAGCGGAACAACAAUUGUGGUGGAGCAGAAAUAUCAGCAUAAUUGUGUGGAACAACGGGGGUGUUUGGGAUAGAUGGCAAAAGGACUUGUGGAAAAGAUCACAGAGAAAACAUGUUUG